GCCGGGGUGGCGGAACUGGCAGACGCACGGGACUUAAAAUCCCGGGACCUUCGGGUUGUAAGGGUUCAACUCCCUUCCCCGGCAC
This 85-nucleotide transfer RNA is filed under the name Candidatus Omnitrophota bacterium. RNAcentral's name for it is "tRNA-Leu". It matches the Rfam family "tRNA". Rfam says of the family: Transfer RNA (tRNA) molecules are approximately 80 nucleotides in length. The record is from RNAcentral. Lineage: Bacteria; Pseudomonadati; Candidatus Omnitrophota.